GGUGAUUAGCUCAGCUGGGAGAGCACCUCCCUUACAAGGAGGGGGUCGGCGGUUCGAUCCCGU
This 63-nucleotide transfer RNA is filed under the name Klebsiella pneumoniae. RNAcentral describes it as "tRNA-Val". It matches the Rfam family "tRNA", at positions 8 to 62 of the family's 71-position model. Rfam says of the family: Transfer RNA (tRNA) molecules are approximately 80 nucleotides in length. Their secondary structure includes four short double-helical elements and three loops (D, anti-codon, and T loops). Further hydrogen bonds mediate the characteristic L-shaped molecular structure. tRNAs have two regions of fundamental functional importance: the anti-codon, which is responsible for specific mRNA codon recognition, and the 3' end, to which the tRNAs corresponding amino acid is attached (by aminoacyl-tRNA synthetases). tRNAs cope with the degeneracy of the genetic code in two manners: having more than one tRNA (with a specific anti-codon) for a particular amino acid; and 'wobble' base-pairing, i.e. permitting non-standard base-pairing at the 3rd anti-codon position. Lineage: Bacteria; Pseudomonadati; Pseudomonadota; Gammaproteobacteria; Enterobacterales; Enterobacteriaceae. RNAcentral also lists the same sequence under 1 other name. The record is from RNAcentral.